This 89-nucleotide ribosomal RNA is filed under the name Wendlandia uvariifolia subsp. uvariifolia. Its description in RNAcentral is "partial 18S ribosomal RNA". Lineage: Eukaryota; Viridiplantae; Streptophyta; Magnoliopsida; Gentianales; Rubiaceae. The record is from RNAcentral.
UGUUCGGAUCCCGGCGACGUGAGCGGUUCGCUGCCCGCGACGUCGCGAGAAGUCCACUGAACCUUAUCAUUUAGAGGAAGGAGAAGUCG